RNAcentral lists this unclassified non-coding RNA (244 nucleotides) under rhizosphere metagenome. Its description in RNAcentral is "partial ribosomal RNA internal transcribed spacer region". The record is from RNAcentral.
GUAGGUGAACCUGCGGAGGGAUCAUUCACAUGAUUUACUUUAAACAAACUGUGAACUUUAUUUAACUAUUCGUGUGUAGUAAUUUAUUAUUAUCACACUGUCAUUCGAUGAACAUUAGAUAGCUGGCUCGUUUUUUUCAUUAAAAACUUUCUCAGCUGAUUUGUUUUUGUACUAGACUAAACAUCUAUUCAAUACAAUCAACCAAACAUAGAAACAACUCUAUGCCCUGGAUAUCUUGGUUCUC